Molecule: small nucleolar RNA, 127 nt
Organism: Peromyscus californicus insignis
Lineage: Eukaryota; Metazoa; Chordata; Mammalia; Rodentia; Cricetidae
Product: small nucleolar RNA SNORA40
Exons: 1
Source: RefSeq, a predicted model, not a curated record
UGUGUGUGUGUGUGUGUGUGUUGCAAUACUGGUCAAAGAUUUAAAGAGAGAUGUAAAAAUAAAUCCUCUUUUGAAACUCAGAACUCCUUAUUCAGUGUGAGUUUUAAUAUACAUGAGGAGGAAUAUA